CCCACCAAUUUCCCCAAAUCCCUAGUUGUUUGGUUUUCAUCUCCUUAAAAUUCCUCUUCUUCUCCAAGGUGCCGUAACCGCUGUCAAAUCCCAUUUCAUGCAAACUAUGUUGAAGGCGAUACAAUUUUGAAGGUUCAAAACAAGAAUCAAAGACAAGAUGCAUUUUUGAAGCCCUAAUUCUUAUUUGAUGAGAUAUGGUAUGCCAUGUGUGGUGGAGUUAUUGGGGCCUUUGAUCGUUUGGGAGAGGCGUGACAGAAAAUGGACAACUUUGAAGAUUAGUAAUCACUUUUAAAAUGAAUGAGUGAACGAAGGGUUACAUAGCUGUUAUUUCUAACAUAGAAGAAUAUUCGAGGAAUGUAAGAUCACAGUUCGCACAAUUUCAAGCUAUUCCAGGAGAACACGUUUGUUUCCGGGAUACAACAGGCGCAAGCAGUUGCACUGAUGGUCUUGACUCCAACCCGAAGGUGUACCUUGCUGCUUGAAAGAUGAAG
RNAcentral lists this long non-coding RNA (491 nucleotides) under Helianthus annuus (common sunflower). RNAcentral's name for it is "sRNA HanXRQr2_Chr03g0090371". The record is from RNAcentral. Lineage: Eukaryota; Viridiplantae; Streptophyta; Magnoliopsida; Asterales; Asteraceae.